RNAcentral lists this ribosomal RNA (1025 nucleotides) under uncultured archaeon. RNAcentral's name for it is "bacterial SSU rRNA". It matches the Rfam family "Archaeal small subunit ribosomal RNA", at positions 322 to 1355 of the family's 1478-position model. The record is from RNAcentral.
CCUACGGGAGGCAGCAGGCGCGAAACGUCCCCAAUGCGCGAAAGCGUGAGGGCGCUACCCCGAGUGCCUCCGAAAGGAGGCUUUUCCCCGCUCUAAUAAGGCGGGGGAAUAAGCGGGGGGCAAGUCUGGUGUCAGCCGCCGCGGUAAUACCAGCUCCGCGAGUGGUCGGGGCGCUUACUGGGCCUAAAGCGCCUGUAGCCGGCCCACCAAGUUACCCCUUAAAGACCCGAGCUCAACUCGGGGACUGGGGGUAAUACUGGUGGGCUAGGGGGCGGGAGAGGCGGGAGGUACUCCCGGAGUAGGGGCGAAAUCCGUAGAUACCGGGAGGACCACCAGUGGCGGAGGCGUCCCGCUAGAACGCGCCCGACGGUGAGAGGCGAAAGCCGGGGCAGCAAACGGGAUUAGAUACCCCGGUAGUCCCGGCUGUAAACGAUGCGGGCUAGGUGUCAGACGGGCUUAGAGCCCGUCUGGUGCCGCAGGAAGCCGUUAAGCCCGCCGCCUGGGGAGUACGGUCGCAAGACUGAGACUUAAAGGAAUUGGCGGGGGAGCACCACAAGGGGUGGAACCUGCGGCUCAAUUGGAGUCAACGCCUGGGAUCUUACCGGGGGAGACCGCAGGAUGACGGUCAGGCUAACGACCUUGCCCGACUCGCGGAGGGGAGGUGCAUGGCCGUCGCCAGCUCGUGUUGUGAAAUGUCCGGUUAAGUCCGGCAACGAGCGAGACCCCCACCCCUAGUUGGUAUCACGGGCUCCGGCCCGUGACCACACUAGGGGGACUGCCGGCGUAAGCCGGAGGAAGGAGGGGGCCACGGCAGGUCAGCAUGCCCCGAAACCCCCGGGUCGCACGCGGGUGACAAUGGCAGGGACAGCGGGAUGCUACCCCGAAAGGGGGAGCCAAUCCCCCAAACCCUGCCGCAGUUGGGGUCGAGGGCUGGAACCCGCCCUCGUGAACGAGGAAUCCCUAGUAACCGCGGGUCAACAACCCGCGGUGAAUACGUCCCUGCUCCUUGCACACACCGCCCGUCA